GAUGAACGCUGGCGGCGUGCCUAAUACAUGCAAGUCGAGCGAACAGACGAGGAGCUUGCUCCUCUGACGUUAGCGGCGGACGGGUGAGUAACACGUGGAUAACCUACCUAUAAGACUGGGAUAACUUCGGGAAACCGGAGCUAAUACCGGAUAAUAUAUUGAACCGCAUGGUUCAAUAGUGAAAGACGGUUUUGCUGUCACUUAUAGAUGGAUCCGCGCCGCAUUAGCUAGUUGGUAAGGUAACGGCUUACCAAGGCAACGAUGCGUAGCCGACCUGAGAGGGUGAUCGGCCACACUGGAACUGAGACACGGUCCAGACUCCUACGGGAGGCAGCAGUAGGGAAUCUUCCGCAAUGGGCGAAAGCUUGACGGAGCAACGCCGCGUGAGUGAUGAAGGUCUUCGGAUCGUAAAACUCUGUUAUUAGGGAAGAACAAAUGUGUAAGUAACUAUGCACGUCUUGACGGUACCUAAUCUGAAAGCCACGGCUAACUACGUG
This 497-nucleotide ribosomal RNA is filed under the name uncultured bacterium. RNAcentral describes it as "partial 16S ribosomal RNA". It matches the Rfam family "Bacterial small subunit ribosomal RNA", at positions 28 to 507 of the family's 1533-position model. The record is from RNAcentral.